AAUCCUUCGGGAUUAGUGGCGGACGGGUGAGUAACGCGUGAGAAUCUGCCUCGAGGAUGGGGACAACAGUUGGAAACGACUGCUAAAACCCAAUAUGGCGAAAGCUGAAAUAUUUAUAGCCUUGAGAGGAGCUCGCGUCCGAUUAGUUAGUUGGUGGGGUAAAAGCCUACCAAGGCAGCGAUCGGUAGCUGGUCUGAGAGGAUGAGCAGCCACACUGGGACUGAGACACGGCCCAGACUCCUACGGGAGGCAGUAGUGGGGAAUUUUCCGCAAUGGGCGAAAGCCUGACGGAGCAAUACCGCGUGAGGGAGGGAGGCUUUUGGGUUGUAAACCUCUUUUAAUAAGGAAGAAGAAAGUGGCGGUACUUAUUGAAUAAGCAUCGGCUAACUCCGUGCCAGCAGCCGCGGUAAUACGGAGGAUGCAAGCGUUAUCCGGAAUCAUUGGGCGUAAAGCGUCCGCAGGUGGUCAGUCAAGUCUGCUGUUAAAGACAGAAGCUCAACUUCUGAAUGGCGGUGGAAACUGGCUGACUAGAGUAUGGUAGGGGUUGAGGGAAUUCCCAGUGUAGCGGUGAAAUGCGUAGAUAUUGGGAAGAACACCAGUGGCGAAGGCGCUUUACUGGGCUAUUACUGACACUCAGAGACGAAAGCUAGGGUAGCAAAUGGGAUUAGAUACCCCUGUAGUCCUAGCUGUAAACGAUGAAUACUAGAUGUUGAAUGUAUCGACCCUGUGCAGUGUCGUAGCUAACGCGUUAAGUGUCCCGCCUGGGGAAGUACGCUCGCAAGAGUGAAACUCAAAGGAAU
This 800-nucleotide ribosomal RNA is filed under the name uncultured bacterium. Its description in RNAcentral is "bacterial SSU rRNA". It matches the Rfam family "Bacterial small subunit ribosomal RNA", at positions 69 to 910 of the family's 1533-position model. The record is from RNAcentral.